RNAcentral lists this ribosomal RNA (253 nucleotides) under uncultured bacterium. RNAcentral's name for it is "partial 16S ribosomal RNA". It matches the Rfam family "Bacterial small subunit ribosomal RNA", at positions 524 to 776 of the family's 1533-position model. The record is from RNAcentral.
UACAGAGGGUGCAAGCGUUAAUCGGAAUUACUGGGCGUAAAGCGUGCGUAGACGGUUAAGUAAGUCAGGUGUGAAAGCCCCGGGCUCAACCUGGGAAUUGCAUUUGAGACUGCCUAGCUAGGGUGCGGAAGAGGGAAGCGGAAUUUCCGGUGUAGCGGUGAAAUGCGUAGAUAUCGGAAGGAACAUCAGUGGCGAAAGCGGCUUCCUGGUCCAGCACUGACGUUCAGGCACGAAAGCGUGGGGAGCAAACAGG